GGGAAUAUGGCUUAGUGGUAGAGUGCUUGCUUAGCAUGCAAAAAGCCCUAGGUUAAAUUCCUCAGUACCA
RNAcentral lists this transfer RNA (70 nucleotides) under Dipodomys ordii (Ord's kangaroo rat). It matches the Rfam family "tRNA". From Rfam's summary of the family: Transfer RNA (tRNA) molecules are approximately 80 nucleotides in length. Their secondary structure includes four short double-helical elements and three loops (D, anti-codon, and T loops). Further hydrogen bonds mediate the characteristic L-shaped molecular structure. tRNAs have two regions of fundamental functional importance: the anti-codon, which is responsible for specific mRNA codon recognition, and the 3' end, to which the tRNAs corresponding amino acid is attached (by aminoacyl-tRNA synthetases). tRNAs cope with the degeneracy of the genetic code in two manners: having more than one tRNA (with a specific anti-codon) for a particular amino acid; and 'wobble' base-pairing, i.e. permitting non-standard base-pairing at the 3rd anti-codon position. Lineage: Eukaryota; Metazoa; Chordata; Mammalia; Rodentia; Heteromyidae. The record is from Rfam by way of RNAcentral.